GUCGAGAAUCUUUCACAAUGGGGGCAACCCUGAUGGAGCGACGCCGCGUGGAGGAUAAGGUCUUCGGAUUGUAAACUCCUGUCAUGCGUGAACAAGGUUGCUUGGUUAAUACCUGGGCAAAUUGAUGGUAACGCAAGAGGAAGAGACGGCUAACUCUGUGCCAGCAGCCGCGGUAAUACAGAGGUCUCAAGCGUUGUUCGGAAUAACUGGGCGUAAAGGGUGCGUAGGUGGCGUGGUAAGUCAGAUGUGAAAGCCCGGGGCUAAACCUCGGAACUGCAUCCGAUACUACCAUGCUAGAGUACUGGAGAGGUGACUAGAAUUCUCGGUGUAGCAGUGAAAUGCGUAGAUAUCGAGAGGAAUACCAAAGGCGUAGGCAGGUCACUGGACAGUUACUGACACUGAGGCACGAAGGCCAGGGGAGCGAACGGGAUUAGAUACCCGGGUAGUCC
RNAcentral lists this ribosomal RNA (449 nucleotides) under uncultured bacterium. RNAcentral describes it as "partial 16S ribosomal RNA". It matches the Rfam family "Bacterial small subunit ribosomal RNA", at positions 354 to 796 of the family's 1533-position model. The record is from RNAcentral.